Octopus sinensis (East Asian common octopus) is the source of this 205-nucleotide long non-coding RNA. RefSeq lists it as uncharacterized. The transcript is spliced from 3 exons. Lineage: Eukaryota; Metazoa; Mollusca; Cephalopoda; Octopoda; Octopodidae. The record is from RefSeq and is a predicted model, not a curated record.
AGUAAAAGAGUAAAGAGUAUUGAUCAACAGCGAAUAUACAACCUGCGAGAACUCCUGUACCAAGUGACCUAAGCAGCAGCAUCACAGCCACAACUUCACGUACGACAUGUACCUCAACCGGCUCUGCAUCAUCGCCGCAACUUCUUGAUACAAUAUUUCAACUAUCGUCUACAAUUGACUACAAACUGGUAUUCUCAUUCUUGUG